GUAGCUAUGUCAGAAUUUAUAUGAGUUAGUUUUAAGCAUUAAUUAUGGAAGUUUUCCUGGCUACU
This 65-nucleotide transfer RNA is filed under the name Taenia multiceps. RNAcentral describes it as "tRNA-Leu". Lineage: Eukaryota; Metazoa; Platyhelminthes; Cestoda; Cyclophyllidea; Taeniidae. The record is from RNAcentral. RNAcentral also lists the same sequence under 3 other names.